RNAcentral lists this ribosomal RNA (915 nucleotides) under uncultured archaeon. RNAcentral's name for it is "bacterial SSU rRNA". It matches the Rfam family "Archaeal small subunit ribosomal RNA", at positions 1 to 922 of the family's 1478-position model. The record is from RNAcentral.
UUCCGGUUGAUCCUGCCGGAGGCUACCGCUAUUGGAGUUCGAUUAAGCCAUGCGAGUCGCGAGAAAUUAGAUUCUCGGCGUACCGCUCAGUAACACGUGGGUAACCUGCCCUAUGCUGGAUAAUAACCUCGGGAAACUGAGAAUAAUGAUCCAUAGUUCACUACGCCUGGAACGGUGAGUGGAUGAAAGCCCCGGCGGCAUAGGAUGGGCCUGCGGCGUAUCAGGUUGUAGGGGGUGUAACGUACCCUCUAGCCCUCUACGCGUACGGGUGUUGGGAGACAUAGCCCGGAGAUGGAUUCUGAGACACGAAUCCAGACCCUACGGGGUGCAGCAGGCGCGAAAACUUGGCAAUGCGAGAAAUCGUGACCAGGGAACUCCAAGUGCAUCGGGUAAGACCGAUGCUUUUCUUGACUCUAAAUAGGUCUUGGAAUAAGGGGUGGGUAAGGACGGUGCCAGCCGCCGCGGUAAUACCGGCGCCUCAAGUGGUAGUCGCUUUUAUUGGGCCUAAAACGUCCGUAGCCUGUUUGGUAAAUCUGUGGGUAAAUCAACCAGCUUAACUGGUUGAAUUCUGCAGAGACUGCCAGACUAGGGACCGGGAGAGGUGUGGGGUACUCUAGGGGUAGGGGUAAAAUCCUGUCAUCCUUAGAGGACCACCAGUUGCGAAGGCGCCACACUAGAACGGAUCCGACGGUCAGGGACGAAGCCUAGGGGCACGAACCGGAUUAGAUACCCGGGUAGUCCUAGGUGUAAACGCUGUGAACUUGGUGUCGGGAGUCCGCAAUGGGCCCCCGGUGCCGGAGUGAAGAUGUUAAGUUCACUGCCUGGGGAGUACGGUCGCAAGGCUGAAACUUAAAGGAAUUGGCGGGGGAGCACUGCAACGGGAGGAGCGUGCGGUUUAAUUGGAUCAACGCCGGA